UUAUGGUAUCUGGCUUCUAACCUUCA
Molecule: non-coding RNA, 26 nt
Filed under: Mus musculus (house mouse)
Lineage: Eukaryota; Metazoa; Chordata; Mammalia; Rodentia; Muridae
Source: RNAcentral